RNAcentral lists this ribosomal RNA (253 nucleotides) under uncultured bacterium. RNAcentral's name for it is "partial 16S ribosomal RNA". It matches the Rfam family "Bacterial small subunit ribosomal RNA", at positions 524 to 776 of the family's 1533-position model. The record is from RNAcentral.
UACGAAGGGGGCUAGCGUUGUUCGGAGUUACUGGGCGUAAAGGGCGCGUAGGCGGCUGUCCAAGUCAGGUGUGAAAGCCCGGGGCUCAACCCCGGAAAUGCACUUGAGACUGGGCGGCUUGAGGACGGGAGAGGAUAGUGGAAUUCCCAGUGUAGAGGUGAAAUUCGUAGAUAUUGGGAAGAACACCGGUGGCGAAGGCGGCUAUCUGGACCGUUUCUGACGCUGAGGCGCGAAAGCGUGGGGAGCAAACAGG